ACAGUACAUCACCUUCAUGAGCGCAUCAGUGAACACCAGUCUAAGGAAGACAUCUCUGAACGUAAUUUUGGAGAUUUUGAUGAGUUCCAUUGAAACAAGGAGGAAUGUGAUGUCCAGUAUCAGUUCUGCAGACCCAAGGACAAAGAAAAUUCUGUGAUAAACUCAUCCAGUGUGACUGUAAUGAUACAAGACACCGGACUUUCAAAUCAACAAUUGUUUCAAAAGACUCCUACUGGAUUCCUGCUAGUGAUGGGAGAAAAUUAUCAUUCUGCCCUGCUGGAAAUUUUCCAUGCUCUUCAUUCGUUCUCCUGUAUUUCCUAACGCCAAUAAAAGAGGAGAUCCCUGA
Molecule: long non-coding RNA, 346 nt
Filed under: Homo sapiens (human)
Lineage: Eukaryota; Metazoa; Chordata; Mammalia; Primates; Hominidae
Description: long independently transcribed non-coding RNA 2359, transcript variant 11 (LINC02359)
Source: RNAcentral